UAGCUGUUNUGAGAGGAUGACCAGCCACACUGGAAGUGAGACACGGUCCAGACUCUUACGGGAGGCAGCAGYGGGGAAUAUUGCACAAUGGGCGCAAGCCUGAUGCAGCAAUGCCGCGUGAAUGAAGAAGGCUUUCGGCUUGUAAAGUACUUUCAGCGGGGAGGAAGGGAGUAAAGUUAAUACCUUUGCUAAUUGACGUUACCCGCAGAAGAAGCACCGGCUAAAUCCGUGCCAGCAGCCGCGGUAAUACGGAGGGUGCAAGCGUUAUUCGGAAUUACUGGGCGUAAAGCGCACGCCAGGCGGUUUGUUAAGUCAGAUGUGAAAUCCCCGGGCUCAACCUGGGAAUUGCAUUUGAUACUGGCAAGCUUGAGUSUAGUAGAGGGGGGUAGAAUUCCAGGUGUAGCGGUGAAAUGCGUAGAGAUUUGGAGGAAUACCGGUGGCGAAGGCGGCCCCCUGGACGAAGACUGACGCUCAGGUGCGAAAGCGUGGGGAGCAAACAGGAUUAGAUACCCUGGUAUGUCCACGCCGUAAACGAUGUCGACUUGGAGGUGGUGCCCUUGAGGCGUGGCUUCCGGAGCUAACGCGUUAAGUAGUCCGCCUGGGGAGUACGGCCGCAAGGUUGAAACUCAAAUGAAUUGACGGGGGCCCGCACAAGCGGUGGAGCAUGUGGUUUAAUUCGANGCAACGCGAAGAACCUUACCUGGUCUUGACAUCCACGGAAAUUUUCAGAGAUGAGAAUGUGCYUUCGGGAACMGUGAGACAGGUGGUGCAUGGCUGUCGUCAGCUCGUUUGUGAAAUGUUGGGUUAAUUCCCGCAAGGAGCGCAACCCUUAUCUUUUGUUSCCAGCGGUCCGGCCGGGAACUCAAAGGAGACUGCCAGUGAUAAACUGGAGGAAGGUGGGGAUGACGUCAAGUCAUCAUGCCCCUUACGACCAGGGCUACACACGUGCUACAAUGGCGCAUACAAAGAGAAGCGACCUCGCGAGAGCAAGCAGACCUCUAUAAAGUGCGUCGUAGUCCGGAUUGGAGUCUGCAACUCGACUACAUGUAGUCGGAAUCGCUAGUAAUCGUGGAUCAGAAUGCCACGGUGAAUACGUUCCCGGUCCUUGUACACACCGCCCKUCACACCAUGGGAGUGGGUURCACCAGAAGU
RNAcentral lists this ribosomal RNA (1152 nucleotides) under uncultured bacterium. Its description in RNAcentral is "bacterial SSU rRNA". It matches the Rfam family "Bacterial small subunit ribosomal RNA", at positions 284 to 1427 of the family's 1533-position model. The record is from RNAcentral.